This 557-nucleotide ribosomal RNA is filed under the name Penicillium sp. ASR-89. Its description in RNAcentral is "eukaryotic LSU rRNA". The stretch from base 214 to 369 matches the Rfam family "5.8S ribosomal RNA". The record is from RNAcentral. Lineage: Eukaryota; Fungi; Ascomycota; Eurotiomycetes; Eurotiales; Aspergillaceae.
CCCCUUCCCUAGGUGAACCUGCGGAAGGAUCAUUACCGAGUGCGGGCCCUCGCGGCCCAACCUCCCACCCUUGUCUCUCUACACCUGUUGCUUUGGCGGGCCCACCGGGGCCACCUGGUCGCCGGGGGACGCACGUCCCCGGGCCCGCGCCCGCCGAAGCGCUCUGUGAACCCUGAUGAAGAUGGGCUGUCUGAGUACGAUGAAAAUUGUCAAAACUUUCAACAAUGGAUCUCUUGGUUCCGGCAUCGAUGAAGAACGCAGCGAAAUGCGAUAAGUAAUGUGAACUUGCAGAAUUCCGUGAAUCAUCGAAUCUUUGAACGCACACUUGCGCCCCCUGGCAUUCCGGGGGGCAUGCCUGUCCGAGCGUCAUUUCUGCCCUCAAGCACGGCUUGUGUGUUGGGUGUCGGUCCCCCCGGGGACCUGCCCGAAAUGGCAGCGGCGACGUCCGUCUGGUCCUCGAGCGUAUGGGGCUCUGUCACUCGCUCGGGAAGGACCUGCGGGGGUUGUCACCACCAUAUUUACCACGGUGACCUCGAUUCAGUAGAUACCCGCUGAUA